CGGACGGGUGAGUAACGCGUGAGGAACCUACCUUGGAGAGGGGAAUAACACUCCGAAAGGAGUGCUAAUACCGCAUGAUGCAGUUGGGUCGCAUGGCUCUGACUGCCAAAGAUUUAUCGCUCUGAGAUGGCCUCGCGUCUGAUUAGCUAGUAGGCGGAGUAACGGCCCACCUAGGCGACGAUCAGUAGCCGGACUGAGAGGUUGACCGGCCACAUUGGGACUGAGACACGGCCCAGACUCCUACGGGAGGCAGCAGUGGGGAAUAUUGGGCAAUGGGCGCAAGCCUGACCCAGCAACGCCGCGUGAAGGAAGAAGGCUUUCGGGUUGUAAACUUCUUUUGUCGGGGACGAAACAAAUGACGGUACCCGACGAAUAAGCCACGGCUAACUACGUGCCAGCAGCCGCGGUAAUACGUAGGUGGCAAGCGUUAUCCGGAUUUACUGGGUGUAAAGGGCGUGUAGGCGGGAUUGCAAGUCAGAUGUGAAAACUGGGGGCUCAACCUCCAGCCUGCAUUUGAAACUGUA
RNAcentral lists this ribosomal RNA (524 nucleotides) under uncultured bacterium. RNAcentral's name for it is "bacterial SSU rRNA". It matches the Rfam family "Bacterial small subunit ribosomal RNA", at positions 99 to 637 of the family's 1533-position model. The record is from RNAcentral.